UGGUCCCGCGAUCCUACUUGAGGGAAAACAGGCUAUCUCUUUAGCCCCGCCCCGCGCUUUGCAUUCUGGGAAGCGGAGUUCCAGCCUUUCUCUUUCCGCGGGAGGGAAUGAAAGGGAGGGUAGACUGAGAACGAAUCAUCUCAGUACAACUGGGAAUUUAGCCACAUAGGGGUUGGAUUCCACCGCAAGUAAAAAGUUAGUCCUUCUCUAAAGUACAGACAUGCCCUGUGUUUGUUGCAGACCCCUCCCUCUAGAGGGACUUUAUCUUUUAAGCAUUUCAAGAAACAGGAGUUCCUUCUCUGCUUUGCACCACCUUAGCACUCAUGUCUGGGGCUCCUUUAGAUUCCCCUGCCAGUGUCCACCGAAAGCUCUGAGGGUUUCUGUUUCUCCUAGAGGAGUUCUUUGCUUAAAUCAAGCUUAAUCUUUACUAUGUGCACAGAUUUGGCAAAUGCUGCCAUGAAGAAAACUGUUGGUCUCAUCUUUCCCAAGAAAUAUUCCAUCUCUGGAAACAGUUCAUUUAGUCCUCUUUGCAUCCUCCCUACUUCGAUGUCUUACAAACUUGACUUUGGGAUGUAUGCAUUUUUUUCUAUUUGUUGAAGUGGGAGUUGUAACUUGUACCCUGCCUUCUUCAUUCCACUCAGUGGUUAAAAUAGACCAAAAUUUUAAUGAGUUUAUUACCUUUUAUUGGUCCUGACUGGUACAAAUACUGAUAAAAAGGAUUUUAAGAUCAUAUUCAUACUUUUGGGGAAUGAGAGCCACAAUUAAUUAACAAUGUCUGCCAUGAGAUUGGAUGCAAGAGUAUGGCACUCAUACUAUUCCUACUUCUGUCUAAUUACACUAUUUGUUUCUGUGUGCAAAAAUCUUUGGUAGGUGGUGGAUGUGCCCAAGACACAGGGAAGAAAAAGAAGUAAACAGGGAAGUACAACACAGACUCUGAAAUGGGGCAUCAUGGAAGACGGAGCUUUGUCGUCUUGGUCUUUGCUGUAUAUUCACUUCCUACAACAGUGCUAAAUACCUUGUGGAUGCUUAAAUAUAUUAAAUGAAUGCAUAAAUGAAAAGAGUAAAUAAAGAGUGUAUAUGAAAGUAUGUAGAUAAAAUUCUUCACUAAGCCUUGGGGAUCCAGCUGCUUAAGGACUAAGACCGUAUCUAGCUCCUUUUAGUAUUUCCACAGCAUGCCAUGGAGAUACAUGUUUCUGAUUAUAUAUGAUACAUGGAAAUUAUAUGUUGUUGAAUGAGUGAUUGAGUAAAUGUGUACUAGGGCAGCUAAUCAUAAAUAUUUCUACUAUUGCUAAAAUGACUGGAUUUAUCCAUUCCUUCUGAGAGUUUAUACUGAUUGCUUAUAUUGUAUCAAAUACCGUAACUGAGGGCAAUGUUUACUCAAACUAAUAGCACCAUUCAAAUUUAUGCAAACAAUAACACUAUAUCUUUAAAAUGUUUUCACUAAAAGCUGCAUAAAGAGUGUAUUCAACAACAAUAGAAUAAUUUUACAAUCUUUUUUCUUGCUUAAUGGCCAUUUGUGCCUUCUGACAUGCUGCUAGCCAUUCAAAGGUCACACUACCUUGAAGUUGAAGAUCAAGACAAAUGAUUAGACUCAUAAAAGACAAAUCACGUCUUUCUGGACAGGUGAUUAUUAAUAAUUAAUUAGCAUUUAAACAUGUAUUAUUUAAGUUCUUUUUAAGUUAUAAAGUCUUUGAUUUGCUAAACAGUUUAAAUAAUGAAUAAAACAUAAAAUAAUAAUAGUUACCAUUUAUUUAAUUCCAUAAUAACUGAUUUGUAUGUAUUAUAAGCUUUCUUUCUGAAAGCAGAGUUUGGAGGUGGGUUCAUAACUUUCUACAAACAGAAAACUGAGAUUUAGAGGGUUAGCUAGGGAAGAAUUUAAAAUUAGAUCCGUCUUAUUAAAAAAACAAUCUAUGUUCUUGUCUUAGUCAGCUUGGGCCUCCAUAACAAAAUACAAUGGACUGUUGGCUUCAAAAACUGAAACUUAUUUUCUCACAGUUUUGGUGGCUGGUGGGUCAGAGAUCAAGGUGUUGGCCAAAUGUGUUUUUUUUUUUUUUUUUGAGGAUUCUCUUCCUGGCUCACAAAUGGCUGCUUUCCUUGUCAUUGAUGACUUGAUACAGAGGGGGAGAGGGAGAGAGAGAGAGAGCAAAGUGUGUGUUUGUGUGUGUGUCUCUGUGUGUGUUUAUAUUAGAGAGAGAGAGAGACAGAGAUCUUACACUUUUUAUAAGGUCACAGUCUUGUGGUAUUAGUACCUCAUUUUUAUGACCUCAUUUAACCUUAAUUACCUCCUAGAGCCUUUAUCGCCAGAUACAGUCACAUUUCACAUCGAAGGUUUGGGCUUCGACAUAUAAAUUCUGUGGGAUACAAUUCAGUCCAUAGCAAUUCUGAAGCACUAUAAUAUACUCUUUUAAUUUUUAAAUAAAGAUGGAAUUAUUUAA
RNAcentral lists this long non-coding RNA (2435 nucleotides) under Homo sapiens (human). Its description in RNAcentral is "HSALNT0402888". The record is from RNAcentral. Lineage: Eukaryota; Metazoa; Chordata; Mammalia; Primates; Hominidae.